This 1498-nucleotide long non-coding RNA is filed under the name Homo sapiens (human). RNAcentral's name for it is "long independently transcribed non-coding RNA 2128, transcript variant 10 (LINC02128)". The record is from RNAcentral. Lineage: Eukaryota; Metazoa; Chordata; Mammalia; Primates; Hominidae.
AGAGCUCACCCUCUCUGAAGGAGAGCAGGUGCCUCCUGAGAGCAGGGCUUCUCUACCUUGGGGCACUAUGAACAUUCUGAGUGGGGCGCCCUGAACGAGUGCCCAGAUGCUUGUGAGGCCCAGAUCUUGGGGUGUGCAGCCAGGAAGGGCUCUGCUAGCUUUCCCACCUCCCUCCUGACCUCUUCUGCCCCUCACUGGACCCAGCCCGUUGGCUUCAGGAUGGGCCCCACGGGACAUGCUUUCAUGGAACCUGAGGAAAGAAUGCACUUACAACAGCGCCGGGAGCACAGAGGCUUCCCACUACCCUUUCCGAGAAGCACGUCUAUUUUCUCUAAUUUAUUCAGUGCCGCUGUGCGUGUGUGGCCUCUCAGUGCCCACUUUGUUCAUCUCUGCUCACUGGGGGAGCCAGGACACGGAUCCAGGUUUUCUGACUCCAGGUAGGCACCCAAAUCAAGACUCAGAUUUCCUCAUCUCAGAAGUUGUCCACUUCUUCUCCGACCUCCACGGUAACUCGGAACCACACCGUGGAGUUAUCCCUGUGUCCUCUUUCUCGGAAGUUCCACAUCCAACCCCUCAGCAGGUCUCAGCGGCACUCUCACCACCUCCUCUGCUCUGUUCCUGUUUCUCUUGGAUGGUCGAAUGUUUCCUAAGGAGUGUCUGCUGCUUCACGCUUGCCCCCUGGAGUGGCAUCUAAAAGGAUACCCUACAACUAACAGGCAUGAUGCCAUCAAGACAUCUUGAGCCUGGCUACCUCCCGUGGCCUGUAUUUUGUCCACAGGAAACUCGCGCAGUCUCACUACAGCAAAUUGAGGUGGUAUGGGGUGCCUGCUGCUGCCUCUCUCUUCACCUUUCCACAGAGGGCUGCCCCAGCCUGACUCCCACUUCCAGAGUUUCUCCAGCCAGGAGAAUCCUGAAAUCUCUGUAAAUAAGCAAUCCAGGAGCCAGAGAAUCAUGGGAUCUCAUAUAAACAAAUCAUCAAGGAAAAACACAGCCAGAGUCUCCAUUUGGUAAACCUCCGUGACUGGGGAUCCCCGGCCACCCAGAAAGCAGUAUUGCCUGCCAUGCAUGUCAUCACUGAUUUUUACUGCUGCAGCAGACUCCGUCAGACCUGCCUGCUGCUUCAGCGAAUUGUUCAGUGCACACCACCAGCUACCUGCUGUAAGCAUUCACACUCCUCUACCUGCCUGGCAGCAUUUCUCAGCUGAACACAGGCCAGGCCAGAAGUGCCAGGGAUUUAAUGCCCUUAGAAGUAGCUCUCUACCAAUGACAAAUGGAGCUGGUGGAUACAUUCUCAGCUUCCUCCCCUCUCAGGUGGAACAGCCCUGAGAUGUGCUCUAUGCAAUCUCCCACAAGUCCCCAGCAGGCUCAAGCUCCCAUUGUCCAACCCUGGUAACCUGCUCAUUGACACCCCUGUCUUGCCUUCCCUUCCUGGCCUCACUUUCUCACUCUCUUACUGUUGCCUCCUGAGAUCGCAUCCAAAAUAAAUGACCUGCACCCA